AUUGAACGCUGGCGGCAGGCCUAACACAUGCAAGUCGAGCGGAUGAAGGGAGCUUGCUCCUGGAUUCAGCGGCGGACGGGUGAGUAAUGCCUAGGAAUCUGCCUGGUCUUGGGGGCUAACGUCCGGAAACGGGAGCUAAUACCGCAUACGUCCUGAGGGUGAAAGUGGGGGAUCUUCGGACCUCACGCUAUCAGAUGAGCCUAGGUGGGAUUAGCUAGUUGGUGGGGUAAAGGCCUACCAAGGCGACGAUCCGUAACUGGUCUGAGAGGAUGAUCAGUCACACUGGAACUGAGACACGGUCCAGACUCCUACGGGAGGCAGCAGUGGGGAAUAUUGGACAAUGGGCGAAAGCCUGAUCCAGCCAUGCCGCGUGUGUGAAGAAGGUCUUCGGAUUGUAAAGCACUGUAAGUUGGGAGGAAGGGCAGUAAGUGAAUACCUUGCUGUUUUGACGGUACCAACAGAAUAAGCACCGGCUAACUUCGUG
RNAcentral lists this ribosomal RNA (484 nucleotides) under uncultured bacterium. RNAcentral describes it as "partial 16S ribosomal RNA". It matches the Rfam family "Bacterial small subunit ribosomal RNA", at positions 30 to 507 of the family's 1533-position model. The record is from RNAcentral.